UACGAAGGGUGCAAGCGUUAAUCGGAAUUACUGGGCGUAAAGGGUGCGUAGGCGGUUAGUUAUGUCUGUCGUGAAAUCCCCGGGCUCAACCUGGGAAUGGCGAUGGAUACUGGCUAGCUAGAGUGUGUCAGAGGAUGGUGGAAUUCCCGGUGUAGCGGUGAAAUGCGUAGAGAUCGGGAGGAACAUCAGUGGCGAAGGCGGCCAUCUGGGACAACACUGACGCUGAAGCACGAAAGCGUGGGGAGCAAACAGG
Molecule: ribosomal RNA, 253 nt
Filed under: uncultured bacterium
Lineage: Bacteria
Description: partial 16S ribosomal RNA
Rfam family: Bacterial small subunit ribosomal RNA
Source: RNAcentral